Clarias gariepinus (North African catfish) is the source of this 643-nucleotide long non-coding RNA. RefSeq lists it as uncharacterized. NCBI's taxonomy places the organism in Eukaryota, Metazoa, Chordata, Actinopteri, Siluriformes, Clariidae. The transcript has 3 exons. The record is from RefSeq and is a predicted model, not a curated record.
AGCGCAGCACUCAUUCUCUACCACAGAUAGUUUGUUUUGAGUAUCAGGAUAAAACGAAAGCCAGAAAUUUAAGAGAAAGGCAAGAAAUUUAACUGGACUGAGUAAAGCUUUCAAAAUUCGAUAAUAUUUUACACCUGGGAUGUCAGAUGAGGACUGGGGAUGAACACACUGUGAGAGCGUUCUGUCCAUUCCUUCGUGACUGAUUAUAUUGGGGUCUGAGGAGCAGAACAGUGCCCAUUCUUGCUUAGCGCUUAGUCCACACAGAGCUGAAAGAAGUGUUGGACGGGGCCUGGAGCCUAUCUCAGGAGACUUAAGGCACGAGGCAGGGUACACCAUAGAUGUGGUGCCAAUUCAUCGCAGCCCUCCAUCAAGUAUAUGUGUGUAUAUGUAUAUUGAAUGCACAGGACCAGUCCAGGUCUCUCUCUCUUUACAUACACACAUAUAGAUGCUUAUAUUUAUGUUAACUGUAUAUUUUCCUAUUUGAUAAUGCUAUUUAUGGUAAGAUUUACCUGAACACUAAAGGCUGCAACCAGGAUUCCAGGAUUCUCAGUGCUUUUGUAAAAUAAUCUGGAUAUAUGCAUCUGCCAAAUCCCACAAAGAUAAUGGCGUGUGUGCGCGUCCUGUUUAUUUUUUAUUUUUUUUA